RNAcentral lists this ribosomal RNA (253 nucleotides) under uncultured bacterium. RNAcentral describes it as "partial 16S ribosomal RNA". It matches the Rfam family "Bacterial small subunit ribosomal RNA", at positions 524 to 776 of the family's 1533-position model. The record is from RNAcentral.
UACGGGGGGGGCAAGCGUUGUUCGGAAUUACUGGGCGUAAAGGGCUCGUAGGCGGCCAACUAAGUCGGACGUGAAAUCCCUCGGCUUAACCGGGGAACUGCGUCCGAUACUGGAUGGCUUGAGUUCGGGAGAGGGAUGCGGAAUUCCAGGUGUAGCGGUGAAAUGCGUAGAUAUCUGGAGGAACACCGGUGGCGAAGGCGGCAUCCUGGACCAACACUGACACUGAAAAGCGAAAGCCAGGGGAGCAAACGGG